Molecule: non-coding RNA, 68 nt
Organism: Dipodomys ordii (Ord's kangaroo rat)
Lineage: Eukaryota; Metazoa; Chordata; Mammalia; Rodentia; Heteromyidae
Source: Rfam
GGGGCUGUGGCUCAAGUGGUAGAGCGCCAGCCUUGAGCUGAAGAGCUGAGGGACAGCGCCCAGCCCCA